Molecule: ribosomal RNA, 253 nt
Filed under: uncultured bacterium
Lineage: Bacteria
Description: partial 16S ribosomal RNA
Rfam family: Bacterial small subunit ribosomal RNA
Source: RNAcentral
UACGGAGGGUGCAAACGUUGCUCGGAAUCAUUGGGCGUAAAGCGCACGUAGGCGGUCUGUUAAGUCAGACGUGAAAUCCCUCAGCUUAACUGGGGAACUGCGUCUGAUACUGGAUGGCUUGAGAUUGGGAGAGGGACGCGGAAUUCCAGGUGUAGCGGUGAAAUGCGUAGAUAUCUGGAGGAACACCGGUGGCGAAGGCGGCGUCCUGGACCAACACUGACACUGAAAAGCGAAAGCCAGGGGAGCAAACGGG